AGAGGAACUUGUCAAGGUCUGCAGCAUGGCUGGCGUCUGCCCUGGGAGUUCUGAGCAGUGAGGUUGCCUCGAGAGGCAUGGAACUAUGCAAGCUAAGUAGAGGGACUGCUUUAGGAGGCAAGGGGGUGGGAGACAGGGUCAGAAUGGCAGGAAGGUGUUUGAGAUGUAUCGUUCCAAUGUAGUGUUUGAUCCAGAAUGUCUGAGAAGACGCUUGGAGGUGCCUGGGAGGGGAAUGGUCAGUUUUAGUAAAGGUAGUGCCUGGGAGUUAAAUGCCAGGAUGAAAAGGUGCCAUUUGUGGGGCUUAAGUCUGAGGUGUCUUGUCAGGGGCAGUAGGUAACGGUCCUCGGUGAACCAGGCAAGGGUGGGAAAGUAGUGUUUGUUGCCUUUGGCUCCUCGCAGAGAGUUGUGCUGUGGCUGCUUCAGGCGAAGUCCAGCUUUGGUUCCUAGCCAGGGAGUUGUGCUUUAGAGCUGCCUGGAGAAGUCCUGACCCUGGGAGACCUUCCUAGAUACGCUUGGCCGCUUCUUGCGACGUGGGCUGGCCCCCUGCGUAGCAAUGAGCGUGCUUUUUUAUGGCGAGAUGGUUAGCCACGUGUGAGAGGCUGAUGGAGGAGGGUUGAGCUGAGUGACAGUACCAGGCGGUGCCCGGGCUCAAAGAAGAGAAGGGAAGACGUGCAAAGUCCAGCGCAGGAGUAGCAGAGUGAUGGGAG
Molecule: long non-coding RNA, 707 nt
Organism: Pezoporus occidentalis (night parrot)
Lineage: Eukaryota; Metazoa; Chordata; Aves; Psittaciformes; Psittacidae
Exons: 3
Source: RefSeq, a predicted model, not a curated record